GAUGAACGCUGCGGCGUGCCUAAUACAUGCAAGUCGAGCGAACAGACGAGGAGCUUGCUCCUCUGACGUUAGCGGCGGCCGGGUGAGUAACACGUGGAUAACCUACCUAUAAGACUGGGAUAACUUCGGGAAACCGGAGCUAAUACCGGAUAAUAUAUUGAACCGCAUGGUUCAAUAGUGAAAGACGGUUUUGCUGUCACUUAUAGAUGGAUCCGCGCCGCAUUAGCUAGUUGGUAAGGUAACGGCUUACCAAGGCAACGAUGCGUAGCCGACCUGAGAGGGUGAUCGGCCACACUGGAACUGAGACACGGUCCAGACUCCUACGGGAGGCAGCAGUAGGGAAUCUUCCGCAAUGGGCGAAAGCCUGACGGAGCAACGCCGCGUGAGUGAUGAAGGUCUUCGGAUCGUAAAACUCUGUUAUUAGGGAAGAACAAAUGUGUAAGUAACUAUGCACGUCUUGACGGUACCUAAUCAGAAAGCCACGGCUAACUACGUG
This 496-nucleotide ribosomal RNA is filed under the name uncultured bacterium. RNAcentral's name for it is "partial 16S ribosomal RNA". It matches the Rfam family "Bacterial small subunit ribosomal RNA", at positions 28 to 507 of the family's 1533-position model. The record is from RNAcentral.